This 98-nucleotide transfer RNA is filed under the name Chloroflexota bacterium. RNAcentral's name for it is "tRNA-Sec". It matches the Rfam family "Selenocysteine transfer RNA". Lineage: Bacteria; Bacillati; Chloroflexota. The record is from RNAcentral.
GGGAGUGGAUGGGUCCCGGUGGGUCUCGCGGUCUUCAAAACCGUUGCGGGGCGGCCUGCGUCGUCCCGGGAGGGUUCGACUCCCUCGCACUCCCGCCA